RNAcentral lists this ribosomal RNA (504 nucleotides) under uncultured bacterium. RNAcentral describes it as "partial 16S ribosomal RNA". It matches the Rfam family "Bacterial small subunit ribosomal RNA", at positions 28 to 523 of the family's 1533-position model. The record is from RNAcentral.
GAUAAACGCUAGCGGCAGGCUUAACACAUGCAAGUCGAGGGGCAGCAUAGAUUGUAGCAAUACAAUUGGUGGCGACCGGCGCACGGGUGCGUAACGCGUAUGCAACCUACCCGUCACAGGGGGAUAAUCCGGAGAAAUCUGGUCUAAUACCCCAUAACAUAUGGAUCGGCAUCGGUUCAUGUUGAAAUUUUCGGAGGUGACGGAUGGGCAUGCGUAGCAUUAGCUUGUUGGUGAGGUAACGGCUCACCAAGGCGACGAUGCUUAGGGGGACUGAGAGGUCUUCCCCCCACACAGGUACUGAGACACGGACCAGACUCCUACGGGAGGCAGCAGUGAGGAAUAUUGGUCAAUGGGCGCAAGCCUGAACCAGCCAUGCCGCGUGCAGGAUGACGGCUCUAUGAGUUGUAAACUGCUUUUGUACGAGGGUAAAGUGGGUUACGUGUAACCUUUUGAAAGUAUCAUACGAAUAAGGAUCGGCUAACUCCGUGCCAGCCGCCGCGGUAA